This 586-nucleotide ribosomal RNA is filed under the name uncultured bacterium. RNAcentral's name for it is "partial 16S ribosomal RNA". It matches the Rfam family "Bacterial small subunit ribosomal RNA", at positions 355 to 1375 of the family's 1533-position model. The record is from RNAcentral.
UGGGGAAUUUUGGACAAUGGGCGAAAGCCUGAUCCAGCAAUGCCGCGUGUGUGAAGAAGGCCUUCGGGUUGUAAAGCACUUUUGUCCGGAAAGAAAUCCUUGGCUCUAAUACAGUCGGGGGAUGACGGUACCGGAAGAAUAAGCACCGGCUAACUACGUGCCAGCAGCCGCGGUAAUACGUAGGGUGCAAGCGUUAAUCGGAAUUACUGGGCGUAAAGCGUGCGCAGGCGGUUUGCUAAGACCGAUGUGAAAUCCCCGGGCUCAACCUGGGAACUGCAUUGGUGACUGGCAGGCUAGAGUAUGGCAGAGGGGGGUAGAAUUCCACGUNUAGCAGUGAAAUGCGUAGAGAUGUGGAGGAAUACCGAUGGCGAAGGCAGCCCCCUGGGCCAAUACUGACGCUCAUGCACGAAAAGCGUGGGGGAGCAAACAGGAUUAGAUACCCUGGUAGUCCACGCCCUAAACGAUGUCAACUAGUUGUUGGGGAUUCAUUUCCUUAGUAACGUAGCUAACGCGUGAAGUUGACCGCCUGGGGAGUACGUCGCAAGAUUAAAACUCAAAGGAAUUGACGGGGUCAUAGCUGUUUCCU